GAUGAACGCUGGCGGCGUGCUUAACACAUGCAAGUCAAACGGAAAGGCCACAGCUUGCUGUGGUACUCGAGUGGCUAACGGGUGAGUAACACGUGGGUGAUCUGCCCUGUACUUCGGGAUAAGCUUGGGAAACUGGGUCUAAUACCGGAUAGGAAUCACAUGUGGGUGUGUGGUUGGAAAGCUUUUGCGGUAUGGGAUGAGCUCGCGGCCUAUCAGCUUGUUGGUGGGGUAAUGGCCUACCAAGGCGUCGACGGGUAGCCGGCCUGAGAGGGUGUACGGCCACAUUGGGACUGAGAUACGGCCCAGACUCCUACGGGAGGCAGCAGUGGGGAAUAUUGCACAAUGGGCGCAAGCCUGAUGCAGCGACGCCGCGUGGGGGAUGACGGCCUUCGGGUUGUAAACUCCUUUCGUCAGGGACGAAGCGAAAGUGACGGUACCUGGAUAAGAAGCACCGGCUAACUACGUG
RNAcentral lists this ribosomal RNA (466 nucleotides) under uncultured bacterium. Its description in RNAcentral is "partial 16S ribosomal RNA". It matches the Rfam family "Bacterial small subunit ribosomal RNA", at positions 28 to 507 of the family's 1533-position model. The record is from RNAcentral.